CGCAUCUGUGCAUGCAGCAUAUCAAUAAGCGGAGGAAAAGAAACUAACAAGGAUUCCCCUAGUAACGGCGAGUGAAGCGGGAAGAGCUCAAAUUUGAAAUCUUAAAGGGUUUCCCUUUACGAAUUGUAGUUUAAAGAAGUGUUUUCUGUUGAGGUUUUGGUAAAAGUUCUUUGGAAUAGGACAUCAUAGAGGGUGAGAAUCCCGUAUUUGACCUUUACUUUCAACUUUGUGAUACACUUUCAAAGAGUCGGAUUGUUUGGGAAUGCAGUCCAAAAUGGGUGGUAAAUUUCAUCUAAAGCUAAAUAUUGGCGAGAGACCGAUAGCGAACAAGUACCGUGAGGGAAAGAUGAAAAGAACUUUGAAAAGAGAGUUAAACAGUACGUGAAAUUGUCAAAAGGGAAGCGUUUGACACCAGUGUUGUUUUUCUGAAAAUCAAUUAAAGAACUGUUUAUGCUAAGUUGUUUAGACUUUAUCAGCUAACUGUUUAGUUUUGAGCUUUUCUUUAAUACACUUUUCAGUUAACAAGUCAACAUCAAUUUCUUUUGCUGUAAAAAAGCUUGAGGAAGGUGGCUUGAGACUCGUCUUAAGUGUUUAUAGCCUCUUGCCUAUGCAGUCGGAGAGAUUGAGGUCUGCAGCGUAGAUCCUUCGGGGCUAAAUGCAUUUGUGCUAAGUUAUAGCAUUUUAUAGACAACUUGUUGACUAUGAUUUGUCUUGUAGCUUACUCGCUUAUGUUAUUUUACCUACGCUUAGGAUGUUGAGCGCAUGUCUCUCUCU
Molecule: ribosomal RNA, 774 nt
Filed under: uncultured Neocallimastigales
Lineage: Eukaryota; Fungi; Neocallimastigomycota; Neocallimastigomycetes; Neocallimastigales
Description: partial large subunit ribosomal RNA
Rfam family: Eukaryotic large subunit ribosomal RNA
Source: RNAcentral